Long non-coding RNA from Lolium rigidum, 4298 nucleotides. RefSeq lists it as uncharacterized. The transcript has 7 exons. The record is from RefSeq and is a predicted model, not a curated record. NCBI's taxonomy places the organism in Eukaryota, Viridiplantae, Streptophyta, Magnoliopsida, Poales, Poaceae.
UCUAUCCAGGAGAGAGAAGAGGGGAGGCGGGGGCAGAAGCAUCACUGGUGGCCAGAAGCAUCGCCGGCGGCACCAGGUCGACCAUGGCCGGUGUAUCCAUACUCUACACUGAGAUUUUGGCUUCCACGGGUUACCAUCGAACAUGCUUUCAGAGCAGGUCAGCCAUAUAAGCUUCAGGGUGAAUCCGGGGCAGCGCACACGUCAGGCACGAGCCUGGCAGCAAGUCCGGCGACCACUGGUGCGGAAACUGCGACUUCAAGUUAAGUAAAGUCAAGCCAUCACUGGUUCACCACAUUGCAUGGUGGGUGACUAGGUGUGUGGAAUCACUUGCCGGUUGCAGCCCAUCAUGGCGGCUCUGUUCAAGGCCAACGCAACAUGCUCCUUGCUGUUGGAGUCUGUGGUGCAGGUCUCCUACGGUGCAGCUCCGUGCCACGACAUACUCAUUCAACUUUCUCAAGGUUUUAAUUUUGCACACUUCAACUUCAUUCAGUCACCUAGCCUACCAAAUUCCAAUUGUUUUGUGUAUACUCUUAUGGGAAACAUUGGUAGCUGAAGGCAACCAAUUGUUUUAGUCCAAUUGUGCAUAUUAUGUGUUCAUCUACUACCUAUUGUACUUUAUGCCUUCUCAUCUUAAAUUUCAGACAACAAUUUUUCUGCAAUUAAAGAUGCAGUUUGGUUCAAUGGAUUGUAAGAGCUCAUCAAACUCCUCGCAUUUACGGAUUUUUUUGAGCUACAUUAUUUUUUUUUCUUGCUCAAAGGUCCAAAAUGUUUCUUAUUUUAGAUUAGAUUUGUCUUAUUUUGAUAAUUUAUCAGUCAGUAUUUGCAAGAGUUGCUCACUAUGUAUAUGCUCUGGAUCAGCCAAGGUAGUUAUGUAAUGAAUAAACUUUUAUUCGUCCAAGCCCUUAUGAUUAUGCUCUUAAAUUUAAAUGCAGCAAUUAGUUCCAUAUUUAGUGGAAGUGUAUUUUUGAAUGAUCCUCACAACUGAUGUUGAUCAAGCAGUAGCAGAGUUAGCAUCUUAAAUUUUUUAUUCUACAAAUAGGAAACACAGUCUCAGUAUCUUUGGUUUUGUUCGGAAAAACAGCUGAAGAUUAAUGUAUGCCUAUUUUGUAAAAUAUAGAAGUGAGUUAUUUACAUUUCAAGAUAAGCUUUUUCCAAAAGGUAAGAUGCUAGGAGGUGCUACUUUAUCUCAUGUGUAGCUUCUCACGAAAUUGCUUGCGGUGUUCAGUGUGCUUGCCGCCUCAUCGGUACAAAUUUGCCUACUGUCCAUUGUCUACUUCAUAUAGAAAUCAUAGAGCGCUUGCGCUGCUUCGGUAAAAAUUCGCUUCCCAUCCAUUACAUAAUGGUUUCUGUAGAAACCACAGAGUGCUUAUUAUUGCCAUACUUGCCUUUCUUCUGAACAAAAUCUGUAGGCAAACAAAAAUGUCAUGCCUUUUCUUCUUACUCAGAAUGGUGCAUCCAGGAUAAAGUAUUUGUUACUCAAAAUUUGUAGGCAUUCUAUCCUGAAUGGCAGGAAAUAAUGCGACUUCUGUAUGACAUUCACGUCGGCCAUUUUUUAAGUUGUAUUUGCAACUACCAGAAAAUAAUUAUUUAUGCUAUUUCAUACAUGUUAGAAAAUGUUGAUUUGUCACACUCUACCGGUUCCUAUUUAAUUUGCUUGGCACUGAUGUUUCCAAUUCGAUUGAAAAGAUUUUUCCAGGCUGUAGCCCAAUUUGUUUCUCACAAAUGCAAGUAAAUGCUUAGGUAAAAAUUAUCCUUCAUGGCUCAAAUAGAAAGAACAUAUAUUCAUUAAUUCCUGAUAUCACCAUACUAACUAUCCUUAGAAGCUGAGAACACGAAGGUGUAUUGUAACUUGAGAAGAUGCAUCUCUUGGCAAUGUUAUGCACUGCUUAAGAUACAGUUGUCACCACUUAUUUGUCUCACAUGAAUAACAUUUAGUGGAAAAUAAAGGCGGGAGAGAUACUUCUGCAAAUAGUUUUUUUUGGCCAAUUGCUGAAUCCGGUAUAUAUUUUGUCAACUGUUCUCCAACCAUUUAGUGCCAUGUCAUUCUGCAAUUGGAUCCAAAUGGUUCAUAAUAAGCUCGACAAGGUGCUUUCAUAAUAGAUAGCUGUCCUUUCAUUAGUUCGAUGUCUCUGCCACAGGUGUACCCCACAGAUGAAGUUUCGGGAACUGUGUCAACUUAGUUCUCUAACAACGCAUCAUUCCCAACGUCUUAAGAAAGUAUCUAGGAGGAUUUUUUCGAGGGAGUAUGAUAGUCAACCUUAACUGAAAAAUAAUUAGCCAUCCUUCAAAAUACAGUGUUUUCUUUUAAGUUGAGAUGCUUGCAAGUUUAUCCCUGAACUGGGCCAGCCGACUGUUUAGGCUAUGUGAUUGGUCGUUUUGAUUUAUAUGAUCCUCAAAAAAGCUACAUAUCAGUGGAUCAUCCUUUGAGGAUCUUCUUUACUCUAAAGAUUUUUCUAGCAGAGGUGGUGCCACUGCCAGAGAACUUUCCUUUGUUCGCUUAUACUGCUAUCCCAUUUAGCAUGUUAUUACAUCGCAUCGAUCGGAAUAUACUUCUAUCUGGUGAGAAUGUGGCCGCUUUGGUGCUUGGUUUAUUUUAUUGUAUAAUCUGUAUCCUUAAUACCAUGUGUUUUAUGUUGUGAUAAUUUGAUUGCUCCGUGUAGAUUUGUAGACGUUGUUGGAUUGGUGAACAAGGUCACUUAUGUUUUCCCCCCUUCUGGUAAUGCUAGGAGCCAGAAACGUCAAGUGUAUAUCACAGAUGGCAGCGAGCCUGCUAUUGUUACCCUUUGUGGGGAGCACGCUGAUCUAUUUGAUGCUGAUGGGUUGAUAGAGGCAUCGGAUGAGGAGCCUAUUAUCAUUUCAUUUGUUGGCAUGGCAGUUAGUCAUUGCUCAGGUUUAUAGGCCUUCAAGAGUACAGCUGUUACAAGAUGGCAUGUUAAUGUGCCAAUUCUAGAGAUAGCUGAUGUUCGGGAGAAGCAUGUUUAUCAGGAAAUCAGUUCCUGCUGCGUGUCAGGAUUGUUGUUUGUUUGGUGACAUGUGUAUUUUCCAUGUGUUACAUAUCGAGAAACAUAUACCGUGGUGCAUUGAUCUGCACAGUGCAAAUCAAAGUCGUUCUGAGCCGACCGUAUCAUCAAUCGAGGAGAUAGCGGCAUUUGAGCCGAAUGAUAUCAUGGGUGAGUGUUGUAAAAUAUCCAGUAGAAUUACCGACGUUCUCAUAACCAACGGUUGGUAUUAUAUAAGCUGCAAAGAAUAUUGGAAGAUGGUUACUUUAGAGGAUGCAGUAUACUUGGUGCCCCACUGUUAUACCUCUGCCCAGGUAUAGGCUCAUUGUUGGAGCAGUUGACGCUGGUUCUACAGAUCCUCUCACUACCAAAUUUACGAACCUUUAUUUGUUUGGGCCUCCAGAGGAAACUGUCGUCCAAAAAGAGGAUCUUUAUUUGUUUGGGCCUCCUGAGGAAACUGUCGUCCGAAAAGAGGCGUUGCUGCUUGUGUCAAGUGUAAGAGGAGUCAGUAGAGGACUGACUAAUGCAGUGCCCAAGGAUUUACUUGAGAAUUCAGUGUUGUUCUACUCAUAGACAUGAAUGACUAGACUCAUUGCACAACUACCUCCAGGUACAAAUUGUUGAGCCGAUUGUCCAUGCCAAUGUUGUCUUGCGAGAGGGAAUGGAUUGUUCAGCUGUAGGUCAGGACAAUGUUGGCAUCCCUGCUCCUGAAACCCCAAAGCAUGUUCCACGUCCUGCUGAGACAUCAAGUCCUCCACUGUCCAUGGAUCUCACGCUAUUCAGCUUCCGUUAUUGAUGAGACUGCCUCCGAUGCCAUUGGGAGAAUGAAGCGCAACAGUCCCGGUGAUGGCGAGUAGCCGAGUACCCAGGUCGAAGAAAGGGUUACAUUUUUCGGAUGCUGAUGACUAGGUUCCUGGGCACGUGUUCGUUAGCUGAACGUGAAGAACAUGGUGGUUCUACUGUCAGCGAUUUUGUUUAUGAUGGUGUUUUUACUGUCUACAAGCUACAAUUUGGCUGGUGUAUGCAACAAGGUUGCUUCGCUAUGGCCCCCUGUUCUGUUGUUCAAGGCCCAUAUGUUCGGGCCCCCAGUCCUCUUCUAUAUUUGUACAUCUUGGGACAGUCUGACUGUUUAGACUAUGUCUUUUUCAUUCUACUUUCGGACUAUGGCUAUUAAGAUGUACUAUAUACUAAACUGGACGCAACCAACUCUCCGCAGUAUCUUAUCUAGGCUAAACUGUCAUGUGGACUAUGUAAUGGGACAUGAAUAAAAUUAGCACCGCUCUUUAUUUUCCCACUGUA